UGAGUACGAGCUGCUACGGCAGCGAAGUGGGUGAUGUCAUGCUUCCAAGAAAAGCCCUAUACCCGUUAAGGCAUCACUGCCUGUACCCGAAACCGACACAGGUAGGGUGGUAGAGAAUACCGAGGGGCGCGAGGUAACUCUCUCUAAGGAACUCGGCAAAAUGGCCCCGUAACUUCGGGAGAAGGGGUGCCACCGCAAGGUGGUCGCAGUGGAGAGGCCCAGGCGACUGUUUACCAAAAACACAGGUCUCCGCUAAGUCGCAAGACGAUGUAUGGGGGCUGACGCCUGCCCAGUGCCGGAAGGUUAAGGAAGCUGGUCAGCGCAAGCGAAGCUGGCGACUGAAGCCCCGGUGAACGGCGGCCGUAACUAUAACGGUCCUAAGGUAGCGAAAUUCCUUGUCGGGUAAGUUCCGACCUGCACGAAUGGCGUAACGAUGGCCACACUGUCUCCUCCUGAGACUCAGCGAAGUUGAAAUGUUUGUGAAGAUGCAAUCUCCCCGCGGCAAGACGGAAAGACCCCAUGCACCUUUACUGUAGCUUUGCAUUGGACUGUGACGGGACUUGUGUAGGAUAGGUGGGAGGCUGUGAAGCGGGGGCGCUAGCUCUCGCGGAGCCAACGUUGAAAUACCACCCUGGUGUCGUUGCGGUUCUAACCUAGGGCCCUGAACCGGGCUCGGGGACCGUGCAUGGUAGGCAGUUUGACUGGGGCGGUCUCCUCCCAAAGAGUAACGGAGGAGUUCGAAGGUACGCUAGCUACGGUCGGACAUCGUAGUGAUCGUGCAAUGGCACAAGCGUGCUUGACUGCGAGACUGACAAGUCGAGCAGGUGCGAAAGCAGGACAUAGUGAUCCGGUGGUUCUGUAUGGAAAGGCCAUCGCUCAACGGACAAAAGGUACGCUGGGAUAACAGGCUGAUUCCUCCCAAGAGUUCAUAUCGACGGGGGAGUUUGGCACCUCGAUGUCGGCUCAUCACAUCCUGGGGCUGUAGCCGGUCCCAAGGGUAUGGCUGUUCGCCAUUUAAAGUGGUACGUGAGCUGGGUUUAAAACGUCGUGAGACAGUUUGGUCCCUAUCUGCCGUGGGCGCUGGAUAUUUGAGGGGACCUGCUCCUAGUACGAGAGGACCGGAGUGGACGUGCCGCUGGUGUACCGGUUAUGACGCCAGUCGUAUCGCCGGGUAGCUAAGCACGGAAGAGAUAACCGCUGAAAGCAUCUAAGCGGGAAACUCGCCUCAAGAUGAGAUAUCCCGGGGACUCGAUCCCCCUGAAGGGUCGUCCGAGACCAGGACGUUGAUAGGCCGGGUGUGGAAGCGCAGUAAUGCGUUAAGCUAACCGGUACUAAUUGCCCGUGCGGCUUGAUCC
RNAcentral lists this ribosomal RNA (1355 nucleotides) under metagenome. RNAcentral describes it as "bacterial LSU rRNA". It matches the Rfam family "Bacterial large subunit ribosomal RNA", at positions 1564 to 2925 of the family's 2925-position model. The record is from RNAcentral.